ACACUGCAGCAUGCUAACCAAUGCAGUCGUACGGAGAGUGGGGCAACUCACUCUCAGUGGCAAACGGGUGAGUAACGCGUGAAUAACCUGCCUUUGAGAAGGGGAUAACUGUCCGAAAGGAUAGCUAAUACCCUAUAUUGCCUUUUGUCACUAAGGCAAAAGGUGAAAGCGAGGCUGUCAAAGGCUUCGGCUCAAAGAGGGGUUCGCGUCCUAUCAGGUAGUUGGUGGGGUAAUGGCCUACCAAGCCAAUGACGGGUAGCUGGUCUUAGAGGAUGAUCAGCCACAGUGGGACUGAGACACGGCCCGCACCCCUACGGGGGGCAGCAGUGGGGAAUCGUGGGCAAUGGGCGCAAGCCUGACCCCGCAAUGCCGCGUGAGAGAGAGAAGCCCUUCGGGGUGUAAACCUCUGUCAGAUGGGAAGAUGAGACUAGGGGCUAAUACCUCCUGGUCUUGACGGUACCAUCAAAGGAAGGGACGGCUAACUACGUGCCAGCAGCCGCGGUAAU
Molecule: ribosomal RNA, 506 nt
Filed under: uncultured bacterium
Lineage: Bacteria
Description: bacterial SSU rRNA
Rfam family: Bacterial small subunit ribosomal RNA
Source: RNAcentral